AGAAAGAGACAAGACAUCCUGCCCUGGGCAGAGGGAGCAGGGAAAGGCAUGUGUGGGCUCCUGAGAGAGAGCAGCCAUACCCACCUGCUUUUUUAGGUGCAUCAAGACAUCAAAACAGAGAGGCAAAACAGUCUUUAGAAUAAGAAGAAAGGAGAAAAGGAGUAAGGGAAAGUACAAGAGCAGGAAACACUUUCAGAUAAUGCUGAAUCGUAGUGGACAUUAAGGGGAAUUGAGGGGGAAAGGCCAGCAGUGAACAAUAAAGGAGUCCACAUGAAAAUAACGAAAGGCAAGAAAGACUUGCAAAGAAAUUCAGGGAAAGUGAUCAAGUUGGAGGUGGGAGGGGAAUGGAGACUAAGCAAUUAUAAACUCAAAGUGGAAAUUUCCAUGGGAAGAUUUGACUGAAGCAUCUGAGAGGGGCUAUGGAUAGAGAGACACUGCCUAGCAUGAGCUGGCAGAAACUAGAGAAAAGGCAGCCAAUACUGCCAAGUUAGAGUCUGAUGGUCUUGCAAUGCUGAACUGCUCUUUGGAGAAGUUGGGGGUGUGGCAGGGCAGGGAAGGCAGGACAGGGAGGCAGUGAGACAGGUGGUUUAAGAUUGAAGGUUCUAGGAGGAAAGGACCAGUCACCUAUACUUCUGCACCCCAACCUGGGCGGGAGAUGUCAGAGGAAGGAGGAGGGAGGAGGAGAGAAAAGGGAGGAGAGAAGAGGGAGGUGCGAGGAGGGGCUCUUCAAGGCAAGCCCCAGCUGGCUGGAGAAAGGACCAGGGCUAGGAUGGAAGUCCCCCAGAGCUGCUCGCCUAGGGUAGCUCAGACCUCAGGCAAGACUCCAGGGGCUUGUCCUGGUCUCGGUGCAGUUUUACAUCAAGGUUCCUCAUGGUAAAGAAAAAAAAAAAA
This is a long non-coding RNA of Phyllostomus discolor (pale spear-nosed bat), 891 nucleotides long. RefSeq lists it as uncharacterized. The transcript is spliced from 3 exons. The record is from RefSeq and is a predicted model, not a curated record. Lineage: Eukaryota; Metazoa; Chordata; Mammalia; Chiroptera; Phyllostomidae.